This 362-nucleotide ribosomal RNA is filed under the name uncultured Glomeromycotina. Its description in RNAcentral is "SSU rRNA". It matches the Rfam family "Eukaryotic small subunit ribosomal RNA", at positions 548 to 906 of the family's 1831-position model. Lineage: Eukaryota; Fungi; Glomeromycota. The record is from RNAcentral.
UUGGAGGGCAAGUCUGGUGCCAGCAGCCGCGGUAAUUCCAGCUCCAAUAGCGUAUAUUAAAGUUGUUGCAGUUAAAAAGCUCGUAGUUGAAUUUCGGGAUUGACGCGACGGUCGUGCCUUAAGGGGCGUGAACUGUCGCCGUUGAUUUCUCACCUUCUGGAGAAGCUCGAUGUCCUUAAUUGGAUGUCUUGUGGAACCAGGACCUUUACCUUAGAAAAAAUUAGAGUGUUUAAAGCAGGCUAUUUUGCUCGAAUACAUUAGCAUGGAAUAAUAGAAUAGGACGGCAUGGUUCUAUUUUGUUGGUUUCUAGGAUCACCGUAAUGAUUAAUAGGGAUAGUUGGGGGCAUUAGUAUUCAAUUGUC